Molecule: long non-coding RNA, 1256 nt
Filed under: Macaca fascicularis (crab-eating macaque)
Lineage: Eukaryota; Metazoa; Chordata; Mammalia; Primates; Cercopithecidae
Description: lncRNA (ENSMFAG00000060957.1)
Source: RNAcentral
UGUCAACCCAUGCAUUUUGCUUUAUUCAUUUGCUGUAUCGUAUGGAUCGCUCCAUUUUGUAGAGUAUUCCAUUGUAUGGAUGUACAGUAGUUUAGAUGAACAUUUUUAUAUUGAUGGCCUUUUUUUUUUUUUUUUGGAGAUGGGUCUCACUCUGUCACUCAGGCUGGAGUGCAGUGGCACGAUCACAGCUCACUGCAGCCUCAAGCUCCUGGGCUCAUGCCAUCAUUCUCCUGCCUCAGCCCCCUGAGUAGCUGGGACAACAGGUGCAUGCCACCAUGCCUUGCUGAGUUUUUGUAUAGAUGGGGUUUCACCAUGUUGCCCAGGCUGGUCUUGAACUCUGGACUGGUCUGGACUCAUGAGAUUCAGACCCGAUCUGUGAGCCACUGCCUCCAGCCUUGAUAGCCAUUUGUUUUCAUAUGCAGAGCAGCAAUUAGUAGCCAUUUAAGAUAUCUGUGCACCAGCCUGCAAGAAAUACAAAUGUACAGGGUAAAAUCCUAGCUGGAUCAAAUACGAGCUUUGUAAAUUUUUUAAAACUUUUUUAUUGAGUUGUGGUAGUUUAUGCCUGUAAUCUAAUCCUAGCAUUUUGAAAGGCUGAGGCAGGAGGAUCCCUUGAGGCCAGGAGUUUGGGGCCAGCCUGAGCAACACAGUGGGACCCUGUCUACACACAAACCCCAACUGCACACACCCCAACUCACCACAAACGAAAAAACUCCUAGAAAUCACCUUGGCUCAGGCAGCUUAAGAUUCCUGUGACCCCAUUUUCUGGAUCAUCACAACCAUCUCACAGGAUGCAAUGAAAAGAGCUGUUAAGUACUUUGUAGACUUGGCUACAAAUCUGCAGAUUUGGCUGCAAAAUGUUACUACCCUGACAAGCCAUGAAGGCAGCCGGCAAUGACUCAAUAUACUCUGCCACCAUCAUAACUGUCUUAUUGAAGUUAAGGAAAUUGCUAUUUCUAAACUUUAUAUGGUAAAUGAAAAUUACCGAAAAAGGCAAAUAAGAUAAAUGUAUUCCAAAAAUUAACAUUCAGUCACUCCUAGGUAUUGUUACUUCUUAGAGCAUUAAGAUACAUUGUUAUAUUGUUGAUUUAGCCAAUCAAGAUCCCUAUAGUCAAUCAAAAUACGUAAAUAAUUUUUUGUUUUUCCCAAAAAUCAUUUUUUGUUAUAGGAUGUUGGCAAACACUGUAAUUUUUUUUGUUUUCUUUGAGACAGAGUUUCAUUCUUGUUGCCCAGGCUGGAGUGCAAUGGCGCGAUCUCGG